This 339-nucleotide ribosomal RNA is filed under the name Triticum aestivum (bread wheat). RNAcentral describes it as "partial small subunit ribosomal RNA". The record is from RNAcentral. Lineage: Eukaryota; Viridiplantae; Streptophyta; Magnoliopsida; Poales; Poaceae.
AUGGGUGCUGGGCUAUAUGGGUAUAUAGAUCAAACCACACCCGAGCCAAACAAAACCAUCAUCACCAAGACCUCAGAAGGAAAGGAUCAAAUCGCUCCUAACCCUGAAUACAAACCAUGGCUGAUUCAAGAUCAGCAGAUCGUAGCCUUCCUCCUUCGUAAUCUCUCGAAGGAGGUCCUGAUUCAAGUUGCCUCCCUAGAAACCUCGCAUGCCAUAUGGUCAGCCCUAGCAAAUAUGUUCGCUACCCAAUUCCGUUCUCGUGUGAACAACUGCCGCCAAUCCCUCACCAAUGCAUAGAAAGGCUCCCUGAGCGCAUCCGCAUACUUUGGGCAGAUGAGA